This 397-nucleotide ribosomal RNA is filed under the name Hypomecis roboraria. Its description in RNAcentral is "eukaryotic LSU rRNA". The record is from RNAcentral. Lineage: Eukaryota; Metazoa; Arthropoda; Insecta; Lepidoptera; Geometridae.
UCCAGGGGUAAACCUGCGAAACUCGAAUGAACGAACGGGGAGAUUCAUCGUCAUUCCUCGGCGCACUUGCGCAGGUUCGAUGUUCGCGGCCUCGGCCGCGGGCACUGCCCGCGCACGUAGCGCUCCGGGGACGGCGUGCACUUCUCCCUUAGUAAUACAUCGCGACCCGUUGGAUGUCGGUCUAAGUGCCCCCCGGGAGUCUUCUCGCCGCUCGCGGCGGGUAGACCGGCGGGUGCACCGACCGGCCGUCCGACGGUAGAUUUGACGAAACGCUCACGCGCUAGUGCGCGUCCGGCCCGACGCAAGGCACCGUCGUAUCCCCUGUCCUGCCCGAGUGCGGACCGGGGUGCGGCGCGCCUGUAGUCGCAGCCGUGCUGUCUCGGACCGUGUGCGUAUC